This 65-nucleotide transfer RNA is filed under the name Asphaera sp. REN-2018. RNAcentral's name for it is "tRNA-Arg". Lineage: Eukaryota; Metazoa; Arthropoda; Insecta; Coleoptera; Chrysomelidae. The record is from RNAcentral.
AAAUAAGAAACAAUUAAUGUAUUUAGUUUCGACCUAAAAAAAAGAUUUUUAAAAAUCCUUAUUUU